AUUGAACGCUGGCGGCAUGCUUACACAUGCAAGUCGAACGGUAACAGGUCUUCGGAUGCUGACGAGUGGCGAACGGGUGAGUAAUACAUCGGAACGUGCCCAGUCGUGGGGGAUAACGAAGCGAAAGCUUUGCUAAUACCGCAUACGAUCUACGGAUGAAAGCAGGGGAUCGCAAGACCUUGUGCUACUAGAGCGGCCGAUGGCAGAUUAGGUAGUUGGUGGGAUAAAAGCUUACCAAGCCGACGAUCUGUAGCUGGUCUGAGAGGACGAUCAGCCACACUGGGACUGAGACACGGCCCAGACUCCUACGGGAGGCAGCAGUGGGGAAUUUUGGACAAUGGGCGCAAGCCUGAUCCAGCAAUGCCGCGUGCAGGAUGAAGGCCUUCGGGUUGUAAACUGCUUUUGUACGGAACGAAAAGCCCUGGGUUAAUACCCUGGGGUCAUGACGGUACCGUAAGAAUAAGCACCGGCUAACUACGUGCCAGCCGCCGCGGUAA
RNAcentral lists this ribosomal RNA (497 nucleotides) under uncultured bacterium. Its description in RNAcentral is "partial 16S ribosomal RNA". It matches the Rfam family "Bacterial small subunit ribosomal RNA", at positions 30 to 523 of the family's 1533-position model. The record is from RNAcentral.